UGCAAGUCGAACGCUCAUUUUCCGGUAGCAAUACUGGGAAGUGGGAGUGGCGCAAGGGUGCGUAACACGUGGAUCAUCUACCUGGAAGUUCUGAAUAAUCCCGAGAAAUCGGGACUAAUGCGGGAUGUGGCCGGGAGGCUAAAGUUGGGGACCGCAAGGCCUGACGCUUCCAGAUGAGUCCGCGGCCUAUCAGCUAGUUGGCGGGGUAACGGCCCACCAAGGCUAAGACGGGUAGCUGGUCUGAGAGGACGACCAGCCUCACUGGAACUGAGACACGGUCCAGACACCUACGGGUGGCAGCAGUCGAGAAUUUUUCUCAAUGGGGGAAACCCUGAAGGAGCGACGCCGCGUGAGGGAUGAAGGGCUUCGGCCCGUAAACCUCUGUCAUUUGCGAACAAGUGUUACGGUUGAACAUUCCGUAAUUUGAUUGUAGCGAAAGAGGAAGGGACGGCUAACUCUGUGCCAGCAGCCGCGGUAAUACAGAGGUCCCAAGCGUUGUUCGGAUUCACUGGGCGUAAAGGGUGCGCAGGUGGGCUGGUAAGUUCGAUGUGAAAGCCCCGGGCUUAACCCGGGAAUGGCAUUGGAAACUACUGGUCUGGAGGAUUGGAGGGGGGACUGGAAUUCUUGGUGUAGCAGUGAAAUGCGUAGAUAUCAAGAGGAACACCAGUGGCGAAGGCGAGUCCCUGGACAAUUCCUGACACUGAGGCACGAAAGCUAGGGGAGCAAACAGGAUUAGAUACCCUGGUAGUCCUAGCUGUAAACGGUGCGUAUUUGCUGUAAACGGAAUCGACCCCGUUUGUGGCGUAGCUAACGCGAUAAAUACGCCGCCUGGGAAGUACGGUCGCAAGAUUAAAACUCAAAGAAAUUGACGGGGGCCUGCACAAGCGGUGGAGUAUGUGGCUUAAUUCGAUGCAACGCGAAGAACCUUAC
RNAcentral lists this ribosomal RNA (930 nucleotides) under uncultured Verrucomicrobiales bacterium. Its description in RNAcentral is "bacterial SSU rRNA". It matches the Rfam family "Bacterial small subunit ribosomal RNA", at positions 56 to 974 of the family's 1533-position model. Lineage: Bacteria; Pseudomonadati; Verrucomicrobiota; Verrucomicrobiia; Verrucomicrobiales. The record is from RNAcentral.